UGCCGGGUGCACCUCUCUCCCCCACCCGGCCCGCGCGCUUGCUGGCGCGCACGCUCGUUCAGCCUGCGACCCGACGAGUCCUCAACAAGUUGGAGGAAGGCAGUAACGCAAGGGUUAAACUCGGAAAGCCGCAAUUACCAAGAUCGUGACCCUCCCACACAGUACAGUAACUUAUAUACUCACCUGGAAGCGCCCGCUUUGCCGCUGGGCAAAUACCCGUGGGGGCGGGGAGGGGCGCGAGAGGAGCGGGCCCGUUGGAGAGGGGCUUCUUCAAGCUGGCUGCAGUGUGGACUGGACCAGCACGCUCUUGGGACCUCCGGACCGAGGUGGUCCAACCCGUCCUGACACAUGGAGAUCUGCAUGAGGGGUAGCCACUGGAAAAGGGGUUCUCAGAGACCACAGGAGUGGAAGGGUCUGGACAAAUGAGCUCUGGAGUCCCAGGAACUUGGUUUCCUAAAAUAGAAAGGAAGUUUGGCGGAGAGUUUGGCAGCGUUGAUAGUUUACAGCAAAUGAAGAAUCAAUCCAUUUGCAGCUGGUGUUGAAACUAGAAAAUGUCAAAAGUUUUAUCUCCUGAAGAAUCAGGGAGACUUUAAAUGUGAAAGUUUUCAUCUUUAGGAUUGAACACCUCCUCGACUGAACUGAAAUGAGACAUCGAGUACAAUAUUUUAAGCUAUGUUUAAAAGAAGAUGAAAUAGAAGAACAAACUGUUAAAAAUAUGUAAGUGUUAUGGUACAGCCAAAUGAAGGAUUCGGCUCUACUGGUAUUCUUAAAAAUUCCUACUUCUGUGAAAUUCCCUAAUUGCAGAAUUCUCCUUCACUACAUCGAACAACUGAUUUCCUCAGUAGUUCCGAUCUGAAAGUGAAUUAACAGAAAUACUGAAAAUGAAUUUAAAAUUAAAUGGGAACAUUCGUAUACCAAUAUGAUACAGUAUUGUUGAUUCGCAUUUUUCUAUAUUCAAGACUAUUCUUAAAUUCAAAUCUUUUAAAUAAAUGAGACUGAAAGCCAA
Molecule: long non-coding RNA, 1006 nt
Organism: Pteropus alecto (black flying fox)
Lineage: Eukaryota; Metazoa; Chordata; Mammalia; Chiroptera; Pteropodidae
Exons: 5
Source: RefSeq, a predicted model, not a curated record